AGCUUUUUGAAUUUGUGCAGAGAUUUCGUUAGACAUCAACCCAUCAGGACUGAUAAGACUUCCAAGAUGAAUGAAGUU
RNAcentral lists this microRNA precursor (78 nucleotides) under Schistosoma mansoni. RNAcentral's name for it is "mir-3492 microRNA precursor family". It matches the Rfam family "mir-3492 microRNA precursor family". The record is from Rfam by way of RNAcentral. Lineage: Eukaryota; Metazoa; Platyhelminthes; Trematoda; Strigeidida; Schistosomatidae.